AACGAACGCUGGCGGCAUGCCCAACACAUGCAAGUCGAACGAGACCUUCGGGUCUAGUGGCGCACGGGUGCGUAACGCGUGGGAACCUGCCUUUAGGUUCGGAAUAACAGUGAGAAAUUACUGCUAAUACCGGAUGAUGUCUUCGGACCAAAGAUUUAUCGCCUUUAGAUGGGCCCGCGUUGGAUUAGCUAGUUGGUGGGGUAAAGGCCUACCAAGGCGACGAUCCAUAGCUGGUCUGAGAGGAUGAUCAGCCACACUGGGACUGAGACACGGCCCAGACUCCUACGGAGGCAGCAGUGGGGAAUUUUGGACAAUGGGCGCAAGCCUGAUCCAGCAAUGCCGCGUGCAGGAAGAAGGCCUUCGGGUUGUAAACCGCUUUGUCAGGAAGAAUACUUCUGGGCUAAUACCUCGGGAGGAUGACGGUACCUGAAGAAUAAGCACGGCUAACUACGUGCCAGCAG
Molecule: ribosomal RNA, 461 nt
Filed under: uncultured bacterium
Lineage: Bacteria
Description: bacterial SSU rRNA
Rfam family: Bacterial small subunit ribosomal RNA
Source: RNAcentral